This 2900-nucleotide ribosomal RNA is filed under the name Clostridioides difficile. RNAcentral's name for it is "23S ribosomal RNA". It matches the Rfam family "Bacterial large subunit ribosomal RNA". The record is from RNAcentral. Lineage: Bacteria; Bacillati; Bacillota; Clostridia; Peptostreptococcales; Peptostreptococcaceae.
UGGUCAAGUUAUUAAGGGUGCAGGGCGGAUGCCUUGGCACUAGGAGCCGAUGAAGGACGUGAUAAGCUGCGAUAAGCUUCGGGGAGUUGCACGUAAACUUUGAUCCGAAGAUUUCCGAAUGAGGAAACUCACUUAGAGUAAUGUCUAAGUAUCAUUAAGUGAAUACAUAGCUUAAUGAGGGGAACUCAGGGAACUGAAACAUCUAAGUACCUGAAGGAAGAGAAAGAAAUUCGAUUCCGUAAGUAGCGGCGAGCGAACGCGGAUUAGCCCAAACCAAUAAAGUUUUCUUUAUUGGGGUUGCGGACAUAUCAUAACGAAGAGGUAUCGUAAUUGAAGAGGUUUGGAAAGACCCACCACAGAAGGUAAUAGUCCUGUAUGUUAAACGAGAAGACUUUAGAUAUGAUCCAGAGUACCACGGGACACGUGAAACCCUGUGGGAAGCAGGAGGGACCACCCUCCAAGGCUAAAUACUACCUAGUGACCGAUAGCGUAUAGUACCGUGAGGGAAAGGUGAAAAGAACCCCGGGAGGGGAGUGAAAUAGAACCUGAAACCCUGCACUUACAAGCUGUGGAAGCACAUUUCUUGUGUGACCGCGUACUUUUUGUAGAACGGGCCAACGAGUUACGUUAAGUAGCAAGGUUAAGCACUUAAGGUGUGGAGCCGUAGCGAAAGCGAGUUUUAACUGAGCGUUCAGUUACUUGACGUAGACCCGAAACCGGGCGACCUACCCAUGAGCAGGAUGAAGCGAAAGUAAAAUUUCGUGGAGGUCCGAACCCACGAGCGUUGAAAAGCUCGGGGAUGACUUGUGGGUAGCGGUGAAAUUCCAAUCGAGCCCGGAGAUAGCUGGUUCUCCCCGAAAUAGCUUUAGGGCUAGCCUCAAGGUGAGAGAUACGGAGGUAGAGCACUGAAUGUCCUAGGGGGUAUUGCACCUACCGAAGACUAUCAAACUCCGAAUGCCGUCAUCUUAUACUUGGGAGUCAGACUGUGGGUGAUAAGAUUCAUAGUCGAAAGGGCAACAGCCCAGAUCGUCAGCUAAGGUCCCUAAAUGUAAGUUAAGUGGUAAAGGAUGUGGGAUUGCACAGACAACCAGGAUGUUGGCUUAGAAGCAGCCACUCAUUCAAAGAGUGCGUAAUAGCUCACUGGUCGAGUGAUCCUGCGCCGAAGAUUUCCGGGGCUAAAACUUACUACCGAAGCUACGGCAUCAGUAAUGAUGGGUAGGGGAGCUUCCCAUACGGGUUGAAGCAUGACCGUAAGGACAUGUGGACAGUAUGGGAGUGAGAAUGUUGGCAUGAGUAGCGAGAUGUGGGUGAGAAUCCCACAGGCCGUAAACCCAAGGUUUCCAGGGGAAGGUUCGUCCGCCCUGGGUUAGUCGGGACCUAAGCUGAGGCCGAAAGGCGUAGGUGAUGGACAACAGGUUGAUAUUCCUGUACUACCGAUAACCAUUUGAGAGAAGGGAUGACACAGUAGGAUAAGCUAAGCACACUGUUGGUUAUGUGUGCCCAAGCAUUGAGGCAGUCAAAGUAGGCAAAUCCGCUUUGAUAAUGCUGGGAUGUGAUGGGGAGCGAAAUUUAGUAGCGAAGUAGCUGAUUUCACACUGUCAAGAAAAGUCUCUAUCGAGGUUAAAGGUACCCGUACCGCAAACCGACACAGGUGGGUGAGGAGAGUAUCCUAAGGCCAGCGAGAGAACUGUUGUUAAGGAACUCGGCAAAAUGACCCCGUAACUUAGGGAUAAGGGGUGCCACCAUCAGGUGGCCGCAGAGAAUAGGCCCAAGCGACUGUUUACCAAAAACAUAGGUUUCUGCUAAGUCGCAAGACGAUGUAUAGGAGCUGACGCCUGCCCGGUGCUGGAAGGUUAAGGGGAUCUGUUAGAGCAAUCGAAGCAGUGAACUUAAGCCCCAGUAAACGGCGGCCGUAACUAUAACGGUCCUAAGGUAGCGAAAUUCCUUGUCGGGUAAGUUCCGACCCGCACGAAAGGCGUAACGAUUUGGGCACUGUCUCAACAACAGACUCGGUGAAAUUGUAAUUCCGGUGAAGAUGCCGGAUACCUGCGACAGGACGGAAAGACCCCAUGGAGCUUUACUGUAGCUUGACAUUGGGUCUUGGUACUACAUGUACAGGAUAGGUGGGAGGCUUUGAAACCAGGACGCCAGUUUUGGCGGAGCCAUCCUUGGGAUACCACCCUUGUAGUACUGGGACUCUAACCAUAGGCCAUGAAUCUGGUCUUGGGACACUGUCAGGUGGGCAGUUUGACUGGGGCGGUCGCCUCCCAAAAGGUAACGGAGGCGCUCAAAGGUUCUCUCAGUACGGUCGGAAAUCGUACGUAGAGUGUAAAGGCAAAAGAGAGCUUGAUUGCAAGACAUACAGGUCGAGCAAGGAUGAAAAUCGGACUUAGUGAUCCGGUGGUUCUGCGUGGAAGGGCCAUCGCUCAACGGAUAAAAGCUACCCUGGGGAUAACAGGCUUAUCUCCCCCAAGAGUCCACAUCGACGGGGAGGUUUGGCACCUCGAUGUCGGCUCAUCACAUCCUGGGGCUGUAGUAGGUCCCAAGGGUUGGGCUGUUCGCCCAUUAAAGUGGUACGCGAGCUGGGUUCAGAACGUCGUGAGACAGUUCGGUCCCUAUCCGUCGCAGGCGUAGGAAAUUUGAGAAGACCUGUCCUUAGUACGAGAGGACCGGGAUGGACGUACCUCUGGUGUACCAGUUGUCCUGCCAAGGGCAUGGCUGGGUAGCUAUGUACGGAAUGGAUAAGCGCUGAAAGCAUCUAAGCGCGAAGCCAACUUCAAGAUAAGAUUUCCCACCGCAAGGGUAAGACCCCAGAAAGACUAUCUGGUUGAUAGGUCGAAGGUGUAAGUGCAGCAAUGUAUUUAGCUUAUCGAUACUAAUAGGUCGAGGACUUGACCAAU